GAUGAACGCUGGCGGCGUGCCUAAUACAUGCCAGUCGAGCGAACAGACGAGGAGCUUGCUCCUCUGACGUUAGCGGCGGACGGGUGAGUAACACGUGGAUAACCUACCUAUAAGACUGGGAUAACUUCGGGAAACCGGAGCUAAUACCGGAUAAUAUAUUGAACCGCAUGGUUCAAUAGUGAAAGACGGUUUUGCUGUCACUUAUAGAUGGAUCCGCGCCGCAUUAGCUAGUUGGUAAGGUAACGGCUUACCAAGGCAACGAUGCGUAGCCGACCUGAGAGGGUGAUCGGCCACACUGGAACUGAGACACGGUCCAGACUCCUACGGGAGGCAGCAGUGGGGAAUCUUCCGCAAUGGGCGAAAGCUUGACGGAGCAACGCCGCGUGAGUGAUGAAGGUCUUCGGAUCGUAAAACUCUGUUAUUAGGGAAGAACAAAUGUGUAAGUAACUAUGCACGUCUUGACGGUACCUAAUCAGAAAGCCACGGCUAACUACGUG
This 497-nucleotide ribosomal RNA is filed under the name uncultured bacterium. RNAcentral's name for it is "partial 16S ribosomal RNA". It matches the Rfam family "Bacterial small subunit ribosomal RNA", at positions 28 to 507 of the family's 1533-position model. The record is from RNAcentral.